Molecule: long non-coding RNA, 1163 nt
Filed under: Monodelphis domestica (gray short-tailed opossum)
Lineage: Eukaryota; Metazoa; Chordata; Mammalia; Didelphimorphia; Didelphidae
Description: lncRNA (ENSMODG00000029887.2)
Source: RNAcentral
AAUAGAUUUUGUUAGAGAUAUCUUCUCCAAGGUUUACAGUUUGGCUAGAUUUGGAGAACUUGUGACAAGUAUUCAUGAGUUCAUUUUUUUUUAUGUGUGAGUCAGCAACUCAUGUGAAGACUAAUAAUAAUGGGUUUUUUUCCUUUUGUUAUUAAAUGGGGUCUUAUGAUUUUGGUACUUCUUUCAAUGUGCCUUAGCUGCUGUACUACUGUUUUAAAAAGCUGUUACUUAGUGAAAAUUAUGUUCACUCAAACUGUGGAUCAUAACCAAGUUAAAAAGGAAAUGGAUCUCAUUUUGGGGUGAGAAAUCCCUGUAAUGUGCCUCUCCUUGACUAACACAGUGUUUUAUGGAAUGUGAACUAUAUGUUUUUGAUUUUUUUUAAUUUAUUAUUGUUUCCCUUGUAUGUGCAAUAGAAUAUUUGAGUUUCAUUUUUUCUCACAGUUUUGUACUUGAAGCAUAUGCAACCAGAUUCAUGUUUUUUGUUGUUUUUGUUUUUGUUUUUUAUAUUUUGUACUAGGAUAAGUUUAAAAUGUUCAUUAGCCCUAAUGUCAAUGCAUACCCAAAAGCUUUAGACUUUGGAAACCUACCACUGAUUCUUAAAUAUUAUGGGAUUUUCAUUAAUGAUUGUGUCUGAUUCCAGGAAAAGGGAUAAUGAAAGAGCCACUGCAUAGUGCCAAGGAGCACAAGGUCAAGAAGACCAACCAAUCCUGAUGGGAUUGAUGAGAUUAUGCACCAAGAGAGGGGACCUGAACUUAUUUUGGGGUUCAAGGAAGCAGCUAUUUGCAAAGUCAGGCAUUGGAUAUCCUUGUGCCAGAUCCUGACUUCUACCAAGUACCUCAGUUUGGCUGCCAUUUUGGCUCUCCUAUUUCUGAAAGCAAAGCUACUACCUUGGGUCAGUAAAUGAAGCAGAGGGAGCAGCACAACCUUUCUCCAUCAUUGAUUUGUGAACUUCAAAAGGCCUGAAGGUAUGGAAUUCUCAUUGGCAUUAGGGUUUAAUUGUUCAAUGAGACAGAGCACUAAAUUUGCACUUAGAAAUGUCUGAUUUUGAAUCCUGCCUUUGACACUAUCUGGGCAACCUUGGACAAGUCAAAUAACUUCAAAGUUCGUGAUGAGUUUCCUCAACUAUAAAAGAGAAGUAAUAAUAACCCCUAGUUCACAUGGCU